GAUGAACGCUGGCGGCGUGCCUAAUACAUGCAAGUCGAGCGGUAAGGCCUUUCGGGGUACACGAGCGGCGGACGGCUGAGUAACACGUAGGAACGUACCCCAAACUGAGGGAUAAGCAUUGGAAACAGUGUCUAAUACCGCAUGUGGUCACUCUGAUUUUUCAGGGGGAUUAAAGCUCCGGCGGUUUGGGAACGGCCUGCGCAUGAUUAGCUUGUUGGUGAGGUAAUGGCUCACCAAGGCGACGAUCAUUAGCUGGUCUGAGAGGAUGAUCAGCCAG
This 277-nucleotide ribosomal RNA is filed under the name uncultured bacterium. RNAcentral describes it as "partial 16S ribosomal RNA". It matches the Rfam family "Bacterial small subunit ribosomal RNA", at positions 28 to 311 of the family's 1533-position model. The record is from RNAcentral.